AGUGAACGCUGGCGGUAGGCCUAACACAUGCAAGUCGAACGGCAGCACAGUAAGAGCUUGCUCUUACGGGUGGCGAGUGGCGGACGGGUGAGGAAUACAUCGGAAUCUACUUUUUCGUGGGGGAUAACGUAGGGAAACUUCUGCUAAUACCGAAUAUGACCUACGGGUGAAAGCAGGGGAUCUUCGGACCUUGCGCGAUUGAAUGAGCCGAUGUCGGAUUAGCUAGUUGGCGGGGUAAAGGCCCACCAAGGCGACGAUCCGUAGCUGGUCUGAGAGGAUGAUCAGCCACACUGGAACUGAGACACGGUCCAGACUCCUACGGGAGGCAGCAGUGGGGAAUAUUGGACAAUGGGCGCAAGCCUGAUCCAGCCAUACCGCGUGAGUGAAGAAGGCCUUCGGGUUGUAAAGCCCUUUUAUUAGGAAAGAAAAGCAGCGGGUUAAUACCCCGCUGUUCUGACGGUACCCAAAGAAUAAGCACCGGCUAACUUCGUG
This 492-nucleotide ribosomal RNA is filed under the name uncultured bacterium. RNAcentral's name for it is "partial 16S ribosomal RNA". It matches the Rfam family "Bacterial small subunit ribosomal RNA", at positions 29 to 507 of the family's 1533-position model. The record is from RNAcentral.